CCUACGGGAGGCUGCAGUGGGGAAUAUUGCACAAUGGGGGAAACCCUGAUGCAGCAACGCCGCGUGAGCGAAGAAGGCCUUCGGGUCGUAAAGCUCUGUCCUAAGGGAAGAAUAAUGACGGUACCUUAGGAGGAAGCCCCGGCUAACUACGUGCCAGCAGCCGCGGUAAUACGUAGGGGGCGAGCGUUAUCCGGAAUCACUGGGCGUAAAGGGUGCGUAGGCGGCCAAUUAAGCCAGGGGUGAAAGGCUACGGCGCAAACGUAGUAGGCUCUUGGGACUGAAUGGCCUGAGUGCAGGGGAGGGGAGUGGAAUUGCUGGUGUAGCGGUGAAAGGCGUGGAUAUUAGGAGGAACAGCAGUGGCGAAGGCGACUCUCUGGAUUGUGACGGACGCUGUGGCAGGAAAGGGUGGGGAGCAAACAGGAUUAGAUAGCCUAGUAGUC
RNAcentral lists this ribosomal RNA (440 nucleotides) under uncultured bacterium. RNAcentral's name for it is "bacterial SSU rRNA". It matches the Rfam family "Bacterial small subunit ribosomal RNA", at positions 338 to 795 of the family's 1533-position model. The record is from RNAcentral.